UACGAAGGGGGCUAGCGUUGUUCGGAAUUACUGGGCGUAAAGCGUAUGCAGGCGGAUCGUUAAGUCGGGGGUGAAAUCCCGAGGCUCAACCUCGGAACUGCCUUCGAUACUGGCGACCUUCGAGUCCGGGAGAGGUGAGUGGAACUCCGAGUGUAGGGGUGAAAUUCGUAGAUAUUCGCAAGAACACCAGUGGCGAAGGCGGCUCACUGGCCCGGUACUGACGCUGAGGUGCGAAAGCGUGGGGAGCAAACAGG
RNAcentral lists this ribosomal RNA (254 nucleotides) under uncultured bacterium. Its description in RNAcentral is "partial 16S ribosomal RNA". It matches the Rfam family "Bacterial small subunit ribosomal RNA", at positions 524 to 776 of the family's 1533-position model. The record is from RNAcentral.